This 82-nucleotide microRNA precursor is filed under the name Podarcis lilfordi (Lilford's wall lizard). Lineage: Eukaryota; Metazoa; Chordata; Lepidosauria; Squamata; Lacertidae. The record is from RNAcentral.
UGUGUAUAUAUAACAACACACACACACACACUAUAUAUAUAUAUAUAGUGUGUGUGUGUGUGUGUUGUUAUAUAUACACAUA